CUCAGCUCCAAACCUGUCUCACUUGGUUGCUCCUGUUUUCUUGUCUGGGGAGUGGUUCAGCUAAGGGAAAGGUGAUUGAACCAUUACCAGAAGGGAAAAACACCUAUUAAAAUUGAAAUAAUUCAAAAUGCUGGAAGUGGCUCCUUUAUGUGAGCAUACCUGUUCCAUUUGGCCACUGAGCAGUCCUUAGCAAUCCUUUUAUUUCUCUGCUGACAAACCCAUGUUCAAAAGCCAUAGGGUGGUUCCUGACCUGAAGGAGAGCUGGAGAAGUGUCCUUGUCUAUGCUGGCACACAGAAUACAGGAUGAAAGAGAUGAAGACAACAUCAAGUCCCUGAUCCUUUGUCUCUCUGAUGAGCCUGGAAUGAGAUCUAAAGGAAAAUCCUGUGCUUGAUGCAGAGUUCCUCAAGCUCCACAUGCUUCCCCCUCUUUGACGGUUUACUGACAUGGGACAUUUCACACAGAAGUGGGAAUUCUGCCCCCAGGAUAUCUACCUUUGUGAUGGCCACUCCCAGAGCAAUCAACCUAGAGGAAAUUCAUGUCUGAACUAAUGAAGCUCAGGUUUAUUCUCAGCUUCUCAUUAGAAAUAUGGAAGUUUUUCUUCCAUCUGCAUUUUCCCCAAAGGUGUUCCUAAUUAAA
Long non-coding RNA from Melospiza melodia melodia, 637 nucleotides. RefSeq lists it as uncharacterized. Lineage: Eukaryota; Metazoa; Chordata; Aves; Passeriformes; Passerellidae. The record is from RefSeq and is a predicted model, not a curated record. The transcript is spliced from 3 exons.